GUGGCGGACGGGUGAGGAAUACGUAGGGAUCUGCCCUUAAGUGGGGGAUAACCCGGGGAAACCCGGAUUAAUACCGCAUGAUCUCGCAAGAGCAAAGAGGGGGACCGCAAGGCCUCUCGCUUUUGGAGGAACCUACGUCGGAUUAGCUAGUUGGUGAGGUAAUGGCUCACCAAGGCGACGAUCCGUAACUGGUCUGAGAGGAUGAUCAGUCACACCGGAACUGAGACACGGUCCGGACUCCUACGGGAGGCAGCAGUGGGGAAUAUUGGACAAUGGGCGAAAGCCUGAUCCAGCAAUACCGCGUGUGUGAAGAAGGCCUUCGGGUUGUAAAGCACUUUAAGUUGGGAAGAAAAAACUUUACUUAAUACGUGAAGUCUUGACGGUACCGACAGAAUAAGCACCGGCUAACUCUGUGCCAGCAGCCGCGGUAAUACAGAGGGUGCUAGCGUUAAUCGGAUUUACUGGGCGUAAAGCGUGCGUAGGCGGUUUGAUAAGUCGAUUGUGAAAGCCCUGGGCUCAACCUAGGAAUUGCGGUCGAUACUGUCAGACUAGAAAACGGUAGAGGGAGGUGGAACUCCAGGUGUAGCGGUGAAAUGCGUAGAUAUCUGGAAGAACACCGAUGGCGAAGGCAGCCUCCUGGGCCUGUUUUGACGCUGAGGCACGAAAGCGUGGGUAGCAAACAGGAUUAGAUACCCUGGUAGUCCACGCCGUAAACGAUGAGAACUUGACGUUGGU
Molecule: ribosomal RNA, 735 nt
Filed under: bacterium
Lineage: Bacteria
Description: bacterial SSU rRNA
Rfam family: Bacterial small subunit ribosomal RNA
Source: RNAcentral